GAACCUUACCCGGGUUCAAACGACACAGGAACGGCCCUGAAAGGGGUCGGCUCUACGGAGCCUGUGUCGAGGUGCUGCAUGGUUGUCGUCAGCUCGUGCCGUGAGGUGUCGGCUUAAGUGCCAUAACGAGCGCAACCCCCAUCGACAGUUGCUAACAGGUUAGGCUGAGGACUCUGUCGAGACUGCCGGCGCAAGCUGCGAGGAAGGCGGGGAUGACGUCAAAUCAGCACGGCCCUUACGUCCGGGGCGACACACGUGUUACAAUGGCAGGUACAGCGGGAAGCCACCUGGCGACAGGGAGCGGAACCCGAAAGCCUGUCUCAGUUCGGAUUGGAGUCUGCAACCCGACUCCAUGAAGCUGGAUUCGCUAGUAAUCGCGCAUCAGCCACGGCGCGGUGAAUACGUUCCCGGGCCUUGUACACACCGCCCGUCAAGCCAUGGAAGCCGGGGGUGCCUGAAGUGCGCUGCCGCAAGGAGCGCCCUAGGGUAAAACCGGUGACUGGGGCUAAGUCGUAACAAGGUAGCCGU
Molecule: ribosomal RNA, 528 nt
Filed under: uncultured bacterium
Lineage: Bacteria
Description: bacterial SSU rRNA
Rfam family: Bacterial small subunit ribosomal RNA
Source: RNAcentral